This 589-nucleotide ribosomal RNA is filed under the name Vreelandella aquamarina. RNAcentral describes it as "bacterial SSU rRNA". It matches the Rfam family "Bacterial small subunit ribosomal RNA", at positions 334 to 916 of the family's 1533-position model. The record is from RNAcentral. Lineage: Bacteria; Pseudomonadati; Pseudomonadota; Gammaproteobacteria; Oceanospirillales; Halomonadaceae.
GAUUCUACGGGAGGCAGCAGUGGGGAAUAUUGGACAAUGGGGGAAACCCUGAUCCAGCCAUGCCGCGUGUGUGAAGAAGGCCCUCGGGUUGUAAAGCACUUUCAGCGAGGAAGAACGCCUAGCGGUUAAUACCCGCUAGGAAAGACAUCACUCGCAGAAGAAGCGCCGGCUAACUCCGUGCCAGCAGCCGCGGUAAUACGGAGGGUGCAAGCGUUAAUCGGAAUUACUGGGCGUAAAGCGCGCGUAGGUGGCUUGAUAAGCCGGUUGUGAAAGCCCCGGGCUCAACCUGGGAACGGCAUCCGGAACUGUCAAGCUAGAGUGCAGGAGAGGAAGGUAGAAUUCCCGGUGUAGCGGUGAAAUGCGUAGAGAUCGGGAGGAAUACCAGUGGCGAAGGCGGCCUUCUGGACUGACACUGACACUGAGGUGCGAAAGCGUGGGUAGCAAACAGGAUUAGAUACCCUGGUAGUCCACGCCGUAAACGAUGUCGACCAGCCGUUGGGUGCCUAGCGCACUUUGUGGCGAAGUUAACGCGAUAAGUCGACCGCCUGGGGAGUACGGCCGCAAGGUUAAAACUCAAAUGAAUUGACGG